UCUGCUGAGAUGGUUUCUCUUUAC
RNAcentral lists this non-coding RNA (24 nucleotides) under Cricetulus griseus (Chinese hamster). The record is from RNAcentral. Lineage: Eukaryota; Metazoa; Chordata; Mammalia; Rodentia; Cricetidae.